RNAcentral lists this ribosomal RNA (509 nucleotides) under Nesophrosyne sp. 176 GMB-2012. Its description in RNAcentral is "partial 16S ribosomal RNA". Lineage: Eukaryota; Metazoa; Arthropoda; Insecta; Hemiptera; Cicadellidae. The record is from RNAcentral.
UAAGAAUUUAAAAGUCGAACAGACUUAUUUUUAAGAAUACUGCUUCUUAAAAUUUUCUUAAUUCAACAUCGAGGUCGCAAAAUAUAGUAUAAAUGAGAACUCCCCACUAAAAUUACGCUGUUAUCCCUAAGGUAACUUAAUCUUACUUCCCAUUUGUUAGGAUUUAAAUUCACAUAAAUAAAUGAGUUAAAAAACUAAAGUUAAUAAUUUAGUUGCCACCCCAGCAAAAUAUAAAAAAAAUAUAAAAAAAUUUAAUAAUUUAUUAUAAAAUUUAAUAAUAAUAGUUUAUAUAAAGUUCUAUAGGGUCUUAUCGUCCCAAUAAAACAUAAAAGCAUUUUAACUUUAAAUUUAAAUUUUAAUAUUUAAGAAAAUAAAAUAUAAUUCUCAUACAUCCAUUCAUACAAGCUUCCAAUUAAAAAACUAAUUACUAUGCUACCUUUGCACAGUCAAAAUACUGCAGCCAUUUAGAAAAUUUAACCAUAGGGCAGAAGAUACUUUUCACAAAACCA